RNAcentral lists this ribosomal RNA (511 nucleotides) under uncultured bacterium. RNAcentral describes it as "bacterial SSU rRNA". It matches the Rfam family "Bacterial small subunit ribosomal RNA", at positions 18 to 518 of the family's 1533-position model. The record is from RNAcentral.
CUUGGCUCAGGAUGAACGCUAGCUACAGGCUUAACACAUGCAAGUCGCGGGGCAGCAUGUCGGUUGCUUGCAACCGAUGAUGGCGACCGGCGCACGGGUGAGUAACGCGUAUCCAACCUUCCCCAUAGUAGGGUACGGCCCGGCGAAAGUCGGAUUAAUGCCCUAUGUUCUUCGCAGAUGGCAUCUGAUGUGAAGCAAAGGUUCUCCGCUAUGGGAUGGGGAUGCGUCUGAUUAGCUUGCCGGCGGGGUAACGGCCCACCGGGGCGACGAUCAGUAGGGGUUCUGAGAGGAAGGUCCCCCACACUGGUACUGAGACACGGACCAGACUCCUACGGGAGGCAGCAGUGAGGAAUAUUGGUCAAUGGGCGGGAGCCUGAACCAGCCAAGUAGCGUGCAGGAUGACGGCCCUACGGGUUGUAAACUGCUUUUAUGCGGGGAUAAAGUUCGCCAUGCGUGGUGUUUUGCAUGUACCGCAUGAAUAAGGACCGGCUAAUUCCGUGCCAGCAGCAGC